This 214-nucleotide unclassified non-coding RNA is filed under the name fungal sp. RNAcentral describes it as "partial internal transcribed spacer region". The stretch from base 1 to 46 matches the Rfam family "Eukaryotic small subunit ribosomal RNA", at positions 1786 to 1831 of the family's 1831-position model. Lineage: Eukaryota; Fungi. The record is from RNAcentral.
AAGUCGUAACAAGGUAACCGUAGGUGAACCUGCGGUUGGAUCAUUAACAAAUGCAAAGCCUAUAGUGUGUCUCGGCACGCCAUAGUGUUUUCUACACCUGUGCACUGUCUGCGGUAGGCACUAGCCUGUCGCUGUUAAACUCUCUAUCUAUUUGACCAUUCAGUUUUAAAUAAUAAUAAAACUACAACUUUUGGCAACGGAUCUCUAGGCUCUU